CGAACGAGAAAGUUCCUUCGGGAGCGAUUAAAGUGGCGCACGGGUGAGUAACGCGUAGACAAUCUGCCCUUCAGUCUGGGACAACUUUUCGAAAGGAGAGCUAAUACCGGAUAACAAUGUUUAACCUAAGUUAAGUAUUUGAAAGCUUUAUGUGCUGAAGGAGGGGUCUGCGUCCCAUUAGCUAGUUGGUAAGGUAAAGGCUUACCAAGGCGACGAUGGGUAGCGGGUUUGAGAGGACGAUCCGCCACACUGGAACUGAGACACGGUCCAGACUCCUACGGGAGGCAGCAGUGGGGAAUAUUGCACAAUGGAGGCAACUCUGAUGCAGCAAUGUCGCGUGAGUGAAGAAGGCCCUUGGGUCGUAAAGCUCUUUUAUGGGGGAAGAUGAUGACGGUACCCCAAGAAUAAGCACCGGCUAACUAUGUGCCAGCAGCCGCGGUAAUACAUAGGGUGCGAGCGUUGUUCGGAAUUACUGGGCGUAAAGGGCGCGCAGGCGGAAUAGUAAGUCGGAGGUGAAAGCCCGGGGCUCAACCCCGGAGGGUCUUUCGAAACUGCUAAUCUAGAGAGGGUCAGGGGCCGGCAGAAUUCCUGGUGUAGAGGUGAAAUUCGUAGAUAUCAGGAGGAAUACCGGUGGCGAAAGCGGCCGGCUGGGACCACUCUGACGCUGAGGCGCGAAAGCGUGCGGAGCAAACAGGAUUAGAUACCCUGGUAGUCCACGCCGUAAACGAUGAGCACUGGACGUCCGGAGGGUUCGACCCUUCUGGGUGUUUCAGCUAACGCAUUAAGUGCUCCGGCUGGGGAGUACGGUCGCAA
Molecule: ribosomal RNA, 813 nt
Filed under: marine metagenome
Description: bacterial SSU rRNA
Rfam family: Bacterial small subunit ribosomal RNA
Source: RNAcentral